RNAcentral lists this ribosomal RNA (302 nucleotides) under uncultured bacterium. RNAcentral's name for it is "partial 16S ribosomal RNA". It matches the Rfam family "Bacterial small subunit ribosomal RNA", at positions 100 to 396 of the family's 1533-position model. The record is from RNAcentral.
AAAAAAAAAAACACGUAAGUAACCUACCCUUGACUUUGAUAUAAAUUCAUGAAACUGGGGCUACUACCGGCUAGUAGCUCCUGCUGCAUGAUUGGGGUUUGAAAUUUUCGGCGGUUUUGGAUGGACUCGCGGCUUAUCAACUUGUUUGUUGGGUAGUGGCUUCCCACGGCUUUGACGGUUAGCCGGCAUGAGAGGGUGACUGGCCAGAUUGGGAAUGAGAUACGGCCCAGACUCCUAAGGGAGUAAGCAGUGGUGAAUAUUGUACAAUGGGCGGAAGACUGAUGCAGCAACGUUUUUUUUUU